ACAGGGAUUGCCUCAGUAACGGCGAGUGAAGCGGCAACAGCUCAAAUUUGAAAUCUGGCUCUUUCAGGGUCCGAGUUGUAAUUUGUAGAAGAUGCUUCGGGUGUGGCUCCGGUCUAAGUUCCUUGGAACAGGACGUCAUAGAGGGUGAGAAUCCCGUAUGUGACCGGCUGCCUCCGCCCGUGUGAAGCUCUUUCGACGAGUCGAGUUGUUUGGGAAUGCAGCUCAAAAUGGGUGGUAAAUUUCAUCUAAAGCUAAAUAUUGGCCAGAGACCGAUAGCGCACAAGUAGAGUGAUCGAAAGAUGAAAAGCACUUUGGAAAGAGAGUUAAACAGUACGUGAAAUUGUUGAAAGGGAAGCGCUUGCAAUCAGACUUGCGCGCGGCUGAUCAUCCGGGGUUCUCCCCGGUGCACUCGGCCGCGCUCAGGCCAGCAUCGGUUUCGGUGGUUGGAUAAAGGCCUUGGGAAUGUGGCUCCUUUCGGGGAGUGUUAUAGCCCUCGGCGCAAUGCAGCCCACCGGGACCGAGGACCGCGCUUCGGCUAGGAUGCUGGCGUAAUGGUUGCAAGCGACCCGUCUUGAAACACGGACCAAGGAGUCUAACAUUUAUGCGAGUGUUUGGGUGUUAAACCCAUACGCGCAAUGAAAGUGAACGGAGGUGAGAACCCUUAAGGGUGCAUCAUCGACCGAUCCUGAUGUCUUCGGAUGGAUUUGAGUAAGAGCAUAACUGUUGGGACCCGAAAGAUGGUGAACUAUGCCUGAAUAGGGUGAAGCCAGAGGAAACUCUGGUGGAGGCUCGCAGCGGUUCUGACGUGCAAAUCGAUCGUCAAAUUUGGGUAUAGGGGCGAAAGACUAAUCGA
This 853-nucleotide ribosomal RNA is filed under the name Calycina crassipes. Its description in RNAcentral is "eukaryotic LSU rRNA". It matches the Rfam family "Eukaryotic large subunit ribosomal RNA", at positions 68 to 938 of the family's 3401-position model. Lineage: Eukaryota; Fungi; Ascomycota; Leotiomycetes; Helotiales. The record is from RNAcentral.